RNAcentral lists this ribosomal RNA (460 nucleotides) under uncultured bacterium. RNAcentral describes it as "partial 16S ribosomal RNA". It matches the Rfam family "Bacterial small subunit ribosomal RNA", at positions 338 to 795 of the family's 1533-position model. The record is from RNAcentral.
CCUACGGGAGGCAGCAGUGAGGAAUAUUGGUCAAUGGACGAGAGUCUGAACCAGCAAAGUAGCGUGAAGGAUGAAUGCUCUAUGGGUUGUAAACUUCUUUUAUAAAGGAAUAAAACGAGGCACGUGUGCAUUUUUGCAUGUACUUUAUGAAUAAGGAUCGGAUAACUCCGUGACAGCAGCCGCGGUAAUACGGAGGAUCCGAGCGUUAUCCGGAUUUAUUGGGUUUAAGGGGAACGUAGAUGGGUUGUUAAGUCAGUUGUGAAAGUUUGCGUCUCAACCGUAAAAUUGCAAUUGAUACUGGCAGUCUUGAGUACAGUUGAGGUAGGCGGAAUUCGUGGUGUAGCGGUGAAAUGCUUAGAUAGCACGAAGAACCCCGAUUGCGAAGGCAGCUUACUAAACUGUGACUGACAUUGAUGCUCGAAAGUGUGGGUAGCAAACAGGAGUAGAUACCCGAGUAGUC